RNAcentral lists this ribosomal RNA (350 nucleotides) under Ampithoe caddi. RNAcentral's name for it is "partial large subunit ribosomal RNA". The record is from RNAcentral. Lineage: Eukaryota; Metazoa; Arthropoda; Malacostraca; Amphipoda; Ampithoidae.
UUGGAUACUGGUAUGAAUGAUUGUACAUUUAAAUUUUUUCUUUAAAAUAAUAAUAAUUUAGAGUUAAAGUUAAAAUACUUUAAUUUAUUAAAAAGACGAUAAGACCCUAAAAGCUUUAUUUUUAUUUUAAAAUAAUAUAUUUUUUACUGGGGUAGUUUUUUAUUUAUUAUAUAAAAAUAAAUUUUUAUUUUAUAAUUCCUUAAAAUUAGGAUUUAAUUAAGUUACUUUAGGGAUAACAGCAUAAUAUUAUUGGAAAGAACUUAUUUAUAAUAAUGAUUAUGACCUCGAUGUUGAAUUAAUAAAUCUAUUUAAAGCAGUUUUUAAACAAGAGGGUUUGUUCAACCUUUAAU